GACGAAGGAUGCAAGCGUUAUCCGGAUUCAUUGGGUUUAAAGGGAGCGUAGGCGGCCUUGUAAGUCAGUGGUGAAAUCUCUCGGCUUAACCGAGAAAUUGCCAUUGAUACUGCAGGGCUUGAGUACAGUUGCCGUUGGCGGAAUAUGACAUGUAGUGGUGAAAUACAUAGAGAUGUCAUAGAACACCGAUUGCGAAGGCAGCUAACGAAACUGUAACUGACGCUGAGGCUCGAAAGUGCGGGGAUCAAACAGG
RNAcentral lists this ribosomal RNA (253 nucleotides) under uncultured bacterium. RNAcentral describes it as "partial 16S ribosomal RNA". It matches the Rfam family "Bacterial small subunit ribosomal RNA", at positions 524 to 776 of the family's 1533-position model. The record is from RNAcentral.